AGCGAACGCUGGCGGCAGGCUUAACACAUGCAAGUCGAACGCCCCGCAAGGGGAGUGGCAGACGGGUGAGUAACACGUGGGAACGUACCCUUUGGUUCGGAAUAACUUGGGGAAACUCAAGCUAAUACCGGAUAAGCCCUUAUGGGGAAAGGUUUACUGCCGAAGGAUCGGCCCGCGUCUGAUUAGCUUGUUGGUGAGGUAACGGCUCGCCAAGGCGACGAUCAGUAGCUGGUCUGAGAGGAUGAUCAGCCACACUGGGACUGAGACACGGCCCAGACUCCUACGGGAGGCAGCAGUGGGGAAUAUUGGACAAUGGGGGCAACCUUGAUCCAGCCAUGCCGCGUGAGUGAUGAAGGCCCUAGGGUUGUAAAGCCCUUUCAGCGGGGAAGAUAAUGACGGUACCCGCAGAAGAAGCCCCGGCUAACUUCGUGCCAGCCGCCGCCGUAA
Molecule: ribosomal RNA, 447 nt
Filed under: uncultured bacterium
Lineage: Bacteria
Description: partial 16S ribosomal RNA
Rfam family: Bacterial small subunit ribosomal RNA
Source: RNAcentral